UCUAGCCCCGCAGGCUAGAGUUCACUCUCCACUGGACCACCAGGGAUGGCACAUGGCAGCAAGGAUUUACUAAUCUGCCAAAUCCCUCCAAACAUACAGCACACACACAUACAGCUCACACACACACAGUACACUAACCGCACCCUCACAAACACACACAGCACCUUUUAAAAAACACAACACCCUCACACACAGCACACUAACAGCACCCUCACAAACACACACACAAACAGCAC
Pelobates cultripes (western spadefoot toad) is the source of this 236-nucleotide non-coding RNA. The record is from the annotation of a GenBank genome assembly. NCBI's taxonomy places the organism in Eukaryota, Metazoa, Chordata, Amphibia, Anura, Pelobatidae.